GACGAACGCUGGCGGCGUGCUUAACACAUGCAAGUCGAACGGAAAGGCCCUGCUUUUGUGGGGUGCUCGAGUGGCGAACGGGUGAGUAACACGUGAGUAACCUGCCCUUGACUUUGGGAUAACUUCAGGAAACUGGGGCUAAUACCGGAUAGGAGCUCCUGCUGCAUGGUGGGGGUUGGAAAGUUUCGGCGGUUGGGGAUGGACUCGCGGCUUAUCAGCUUGUUGGUGGGGUAGUGGCUUACCAAGGCUUUGACGGGUAGCCGGCCUGAGAGGGUGACCGGCCACAUUGGGACUGAGAUACGGACCAGACUCCUACGGGAGGCAGCAGUGGGGAAUAUUGCGCAAUGGGCGGAAGCCUGAUGCAACAACGCCGCGUGCGGGAUGACGGCCUUCGGGUUGUAAACCGCUUUCGCCUGUGACGAAGCGUGAGUGACGGUAAUGGGUAAAGAAGCACCGGCUAACUACGUG
This 468-nucleotide ribosomal RNA is filed under the name uncultured bacterium. RNAcentral describes it as "partial 16S ribosomal RNA". It matches the Rfam family "Bacterial small subunit ribosomal RNA", at positions 28 to 507 of the family's 1533-position model. The record is from RNAcentral.